UUCCGCCGCGCUCGGUGCCGCCAUGGGGCCGCGGCGGCGACGGCGGCCGAGGGGCCGGAGGAGCAGUACGUGCUGGGGCAGGAGGAGCAGGAAAGAAGAAAAGGAAGCGUGCGGAAGAAGGGGAGAAAGUGUCAGAAGACCAGAGCUUAUCCAAACAUACAAGAAACUCCCAGUAAAAGCAAAGAAGGCCAGAAAAAAGGAGCGUUCAGGGCAGA
Non-coding RNA from Taeniopygia guttata (zebra finch), 215 nucleotides. Lineage: Eukaryota; Metazoa; Chordata; Aves; Passeriformes; Estrildidae. The record is from RefSeq and is a predicted model, not a curated record.